CGACGUAGGGGGCUAGCGUUGCCCGGAUUCACUGGGCGUAAAGCGCGCGUAGGCGGUUCGGCAAGUCGCCCGUGAAAGCCCCUGGCUCAACUGGGGGAGGUCGGGCGAUACUGCCGGGCUAGAGGGCGGCAGAGGGAGGUGGAACGGCCGGAGUAGCGGUGAAAUGCGUAGAUACCGGCCGGAAUCCCGAUGGCGAAGGCAACCUCCUGGGCCGUUCCUGACGCUGAGGCGCGAAAGCUGGGGGAGCGAACCGGAUUAGAAACCCUAGUAGUCC
RNAcentral lists this ribosomal RNA (274 nucleotides) under uncultured bacterium. RNAcentral describes it as "partial 16S ribosomal RNA". It matches the Rfam family "Bacterial small subunit ribosomal RNA", at positions 523 to 796 of the family's 1533-position model. The record is from RNAcentral.